CCCAAAGGGAACUGAGGCAUUUAUCCACCAGCCCCCAUCAGCCAUUGGCUGAGGGCUGCUCCAGGGCUGGGACCAGGACUCCUUACAUCUUGUACACUGGACACCUUACUCGCCCCACCCUAGUCCCAGGCCCAGCUGCUCCUUGGUGCCACUGACUCCCUGACACUCUGGCCUGCUGUACCUAUGGACACAGAGGACCCUUUCAACCAAAACCUCCCGCCAAAAUUCAAGUCUCAGCCACAUGCCCAGCCCUACACCAAUCACUAAGCCAGGGGCUGUGAUGCUCUCAUUGGCCAGGCCCCAGUCACAUGCCCAGGCUAUGCCAAUCACUGGCCCUGGCAGCUGUGACGCACUCAUGGGCGGGCCCGCGUCGUGGCGGGGAGAGGAGUCUCCAGACGGAAGUGGGGUGCUGUUCUGAGAGAAAGAAGCAGCUUGGUGCUGGAUGAGAACCCGUGAACACCGAGGCUUCCCUCUGCCUCUCUGCUGACUGGUCCCUUAGCUCUGGGACGACUGAGAAGAGAACCCUGUUGACCAGGAAGGGCAGCCUUGGGAACCUAGCAAAAUGGGAAGGUCCGGGAAAUAUGGUAGACCAGGCAAGGAAAGACCGAGACUGGAAUGGCCAAACACCACACUAAGUGCUUUGAGGGAGACCGAGAUAAGCGUGCCGCAGCCCCCCACCCCACUCCCCUCUUGGGAGGAGAAAUCAGCCACAGGCAGAAGGACGAACACAGAAGGAAGCCCUGCCUACCAGGAGACAGAAUGUCAACCCUCUCCUCUUCCAGGCAACAAAAAGAGGCAGGCGGCUGCGGCAGCCCCACCUAUGACCCUGAGCAACCCUGGAAGCUGCGCUGUCGACAGCCUGUCACAGCAAAUCACCUCAGGCCACUACAUCCCCAGAGAGCUGCCCACCGAACCAGCGUCAGCCCCCUCGGGGCCUCUCCCAGCGGCACUAACAGGCUGGCGCCAGGCUGCACAGGGCUGGUUCUGCC
Molecule: long non-coding RNA, 989 nt
Filed under: Equus caballus (horse)
Lineage: Eukaryota; Metazoa; Chordata; Mammalia; Perissodactyla; Equidae
Description: lncRNA (ENSECAG00000051204.1)
Source: RNAcentral